This 433-nucleotide ribosomal RNA is filed under the name uncultured bacterium. Its description in RNAcentral is "partial 16S ribosomal RNA". It matches the Rfam family "Bacterial small subunit ribosomal RNA", at positions 29 to 507 of the family's 1533-position model. The record is from RNAcentral.
AACGAACGCUGGCGGCAUGCCUAACACAUGCAAGUCGAACGAGACCUUCGGGUCUAGUGGCGCACGGGUGCGUAACGCGUGGGAACCUGCCCUUAGGUUCGGAAUAACUCCCCGAAAGGGGUGCUAAUACCGGAUAAUCUCUUCGGACCAAAGAUUUAUCGCCUUUGGAUGGGCCCGCGUUGGAUUCGCUAGUUGGUAGGGUAAAAGCCUACCAAGGCGACGAUCCAUAGCUGGUCUGAGAGGAUGAUCAGCCACACUGGGACUGAGACACGGCCCAGACUCCUACGGGAGGCAGCAGUGGGGAAUAUUGGACAAUGGGCGAAAGCCUGAUACAGCAAUGCCGCGUGAGUGAUGAAGGCCUUAGGGUUGUAAAGCUCUUUUACCCGGGAUGAUAAUGACAGUACCGGGAGAAUAAGCUCCGGCUAACUACGUG